UGUAGACCCGAAACCGGAUGAUCUAUCCAUGGCCAGGAUGAAGGUGCGGUAACACGCACUGGAGGUCCGAACCCACGUCUGUUGCAAAAGACGGGGAUGAGCUGUGGAUAGGGGUGAAAGGCUAAACAAAUCCGGAAAUAGCUGGUUCUCUCCGAAAACUAUUUAGGUAGUGCCUCGAGAUUACACUGACGGGGGUAGAGCACUGUUAUGGCUAGGGGGUCAUUGCGAUUUACCAACCCAUGGCAAACUCCGAAUACCGUCAAGUGCGUCCUCGGGAGACAGACAGCGGGUGCUAACGUCCGUUGUCAAGAGGGAAACAACCCAGACCGCCAGCUAAGGUCCCAAAUGACAUGCUAAGUGGUAAACGAAGUGGGAAGGCCAAGACAGCCAGGAUGUUGGCUUAGAAGCAGCCAUCAUUCAAAGAAAGCGUAAUAGCUCACUGGUCGAGUCGUCCUGCGCGGAAGAUGUAACGGGGCUCAAGCAUGUAACCGAAGCUGCGGAUGCGAGCUUGCUCGCAUGGUAGGAGAGCGUUCUGUAGGCCUGCGAAGGUGGUGGUGUAAACCCUGCUGGAGGUAUCAGAAGUGCGAAUGCUGACAUGAGUAGCGAUAAAGCGGGUGAAAGUCCCGCUCGCCGAAAACCCAAGGUUUCCUACGCAACGUUCAUCGGCGUAGGGUGAGUCGGCCCCUAAGGCGAGGCAGAAAUGCGUAGUCGAUGGGAAACGGGUCAAGAUUCCCGUACCGGUUGUGAAUGCGAUGGGGGGACGGAGAAGGGUAGCUCAGCGGCCUGUUGGAAUAGGUCGUUUAAGCGUGUAGGAGUGGUCUCCUGGCAAAUCCGGAGAUCUUAUCUGAGGCGUGAUGACGAGGGUCUACGGACCUGAAGUGAGUAAUCCCAAGCUUCCAGGAAAAGCCUCUAAGCUUCAGUUCACAACUGACCGUACCGCAAACCGACACAGGUGGGUAGGUAGAGAAUACCAAGGCGCUUGAGAGAACUCGGGUUAAGGAACUCGGCAAAUUGACACCGUAACUUCGGGAGAAGGUGUGCCCCGGUAGCGUGUAGGACUUCGCGUCCGAAGCGUGAUGGGGUCGCAGAGAAUAGGUGGCUGCGACUGUUUAAUAAAAACACAGCUCUGUGCCAACACGAAAGUGGACGUAUACGGAGUGACGCCUGCCCGGUGCCGGAAGGUUAAGUGAUGGGGUGCAAGCUCUUGAUCGAAGCCCCGGUAAACGGCGGCCGUAACUAUAACGGUCCUAAGGUAGCGAAAUUCCUUGUCGGGUAAGUUCCGACCCGCACGAAUGGCGUAACGAUGGCCACACUGUCUCAACCCGAGACUCAGCGAAGUUGAAAUGUUUGUGAAGAUGCAAUCUCCCCGCUGCUAGACGGAAAGACCCCGUGAACCUUUACUGUAGCUUUGCAUUGGACUUUGAACAGGCUUGUGUAGGAUAGGUGGGAGGCUUUGAAGCUGAGACGCUAGUUUCAGUGGAGCCGUCCUUGAAAUACCACCCUGGUGUGUUUGAGGUUCUAACCUGGGUCCAUCAUCUGGAUCGGGGACCGUGCAUGGUAGGCAGUUUGACUGGGGCGGUCUCCUCCCAAAGUGUAACGGAGGAGUUCGAAGGUUACCUAGGUACGGUCGGACAUCGUACUGAUAGUGCAAUGGCAAAAGGUAGCUUGACUGCGAGACCGACAAGUCGAGCAGGUGCGAAAGCAGGACAUAGUGAUCCGGUGGUUCUGAAUGGAAGGGCCAUCGCUCAACGGAUAAAAGGUACUCCGGGGAUAACAGGCUGAUUCCGCCCAAGAGUUCAUAUCGACGGCGGAGUUUGGCACCUCGAUGUCGGCUCAUCACAUCCUGGGGCUGUAGCCGGUCCCAAGGGUAUGGCUGUUCGCCAUUUAAAGUGGUACGUGAGCUGGGUUUAAAACGUCGUGAGACAGUUUGGUCCCUAUCUGCAGUGGGCGUUGGAAGUUUGAGGGGGGCUGCUCCUAGUACGAGAGGACCGGAGUGGACGCAUCUCUGGUGUACCGGUUGUGACGCCAGUCGCAUCGCCGGGUAGCUAUAUGCGGAAGAGAUAAACGCUGAAAGCAUCUAAGCGUGAAACUCGCCUCAAGAUGAGACUUCCCUGGAGACUUGAUCUCCCUGAAGGGCCGUGGAAGACCACCACGUUGAUAGGUCGGGUGUGGAAGCGCAGUAAUGCGUUAAGCUAACCGAUACUAAUUACCCGUGAGGCUUGAUCCU
RNAcentral lists this ribosomal RNA (2227 nucleotides) under Laribacter hongkongensis. RNAcentral describes it as "partial 23S ribosomal RNA". It matches the Rfam family "Bacterial large subunit ribosomal RNA", at positions 708 to 2925 of the family's 2925-position model. Lineage: Bacteria; Pseudomonadati; Pseudomonadota; Betaproteobacteria; Neisseriales; Aquaspirillaceae. The record is from RNAcentral.